AAUAUCAAAGGUGAGCCAGUACAGGAUGGACCCGCGUCUGAUUAGCUAGUUGGUAAGGUAACGGCUUACCAAGGCGACGAUCAGUAGCCGACCUGAGAGGGUGAUCGGCCACAUUGGAACUGAGACACGGUCCAAACUCCUACGGGAGGCAGCAGUGGGGAAUAUUGCACAAUGGGCGAAAGCCUGAUGCAGCAACGCCGCGUGAGUGAUGAAGGCCUUCGGGUCGUAAAACUCUGUCCUCAAGGAAGAUAAUGACGGUACUUGAGGAGGAAGCCCCGGCUAACUACGUGCCAGCAGCCGCGGUAAUACGUAGGGGGCUAGCGUUAUCCGGAUUUACUGGGCGUAAAGUGUGCGUAGGCGGUCUUUCAAGUCAGGAGUGAAAGGCUACGGCUCAACCGUAGUAAGCUCUAGAAACUGGGAGACUUGAGUGCAGGAGAGGAGAGUGGAAAUCCUAGUGUAGCGGUGAAAUGCGUAGAUAUUAGGAGGAACACCAGUUGCGAAGGCGGCUCUCUGGACUGUAAC
RNAcentral lists this ribosomal RNA (522 nucleotides) under Clostridioides difficile. RNAcentral describes it as "bacterial SSU rRNA". It matches the Rfam family "Bacterial small subunit ribosomal RNA", at positions 197 to 740 of the family's 1533-position model. The record is from RNAcentral. Lineage: Bacteria; Bacillati; Bacillota; Clostridia; Peptostreptococcales; Peptostreptococcaceae.